RNAcentral lists this ribosomal RNA (384 nucleotides) under Coronella girondica. Its description in RNAcentral is "partial 12S ribosomal RNA". Lineage: Eukaryota; Metazoa; Chordata; Lepidosauria; Squamata; Colubridae. The record is from RNAcentral.
GCCUAACCAUAACACAACAAUCAAAUAACCCAUUGUUCGCCAAAUAACUACGAGUAAAAACUUAAAAUUUAAAAGACUUGACGGUACCUCAAAACAACCUAGAGGAGCCUGUCUAAUAACCGAUACCCCACGAUCAACCCAACCCCCUCUAGCCUAACAGUCUAUAUACCGCCGUCGCCAGCCUACCUUGUGAAAGAAACAAAGUGAGCCAAACAGCCCCCACUAACACGACAGGUCGAGGUGUAACUUAUGAGUGGGUCCAAGAUGGGCUACAUUUUCUAACACAGAAAAUACGAAUUAUUCCAUGAAAUAAGAAACUGAAGGCGGAUUUAGCAGUAUGCCGAGAACAACAUACCCGGCCGAAAUCACCGCAAUGAGGUGCGU